ACGUUACUCGCAGAAGAAGCACCGGCUAACUCCGUGCCAGCAGCCGCGGUAAUACGGAGGGUGCAAGCGUUAAUCGGAAUUACUGGGCGUAAAGCGCACGCAGGCGGUUUGUUAAGUCAGAUGUGAAAUCCCCGGGCUCAACCUGGGAACUGCAUUUGAAGACUGGCAAGCUAGAGUCUCGUAGAGGGGGGUAGAAUUCCAGGUGUAGCGGUGAAAUGCGUAC
RNAcentral lists this ribosomal RNA (223 nucleotides) under Serratia sp. AC39. RNAcentral describes it as "partial 16S ribosomal RNA". It matches the Rfam family "Bacterial small subunit ribosomal RNA", at positions 472 to 693 of the family's 1533-position model. The record is from RNAcentral. Lineage: Bacteria; Pseudomonadati; Pseudomonadota; Gammaproteobacteria; Enterobacterales; Yersiniaceae.